RNAcentral lists this non-coding RNA (29 nucleotides) under Rattus norvegicus (Norway rat). The record is from RNAcentral. Lineage: Eukaryota; Metazoa; Chordata; Mammalia; Rodentia; Muridae.
UCAGCAGAGCCUACAGGACACAUGUCAUG